CAGUGUCAAUACGAAAUUUUAUUUUCAUUUCCAUUAAAACAAUACACAUUUACUGUUCUAUUACGAGUUAAUAAUUAUCGCAGCAAUUGCAAGCGAACUGUCAAGGUGAGAAGCAAAAGGCUGAUAUUGGAUAUUUUAGCUGUGAGAAAGUCUGAUAUGAGGAAGAAUUAGCUGCCAGUUCCAGCAUUAGAAGCUCCCUCCUGGUCACAUGGCAUAUAAUAUAUUUAACUACAACGAAACCAAAUAU
Octopus bimaculoides (California two-spot octopus) is the source of this 247-nucleotide long non-coding RNA. RefSeq lists it as uncharacterized. The record is from RefSeq and is a predicted model, not a curated record. NCBI's taxonomy places the organism in Eukaryota, Metazoa, Mollusca, Cephalopoda, Octopoda, Octopodidae.